Molecule: transfer RNA, 65 nt
Filed under: Nesophrosyne sp. 246 GMB-2012
Lineage: Eukaryota; Metazoa; Arthropoda; Insecta; Hemiptera; Cicadellidae
Description: tRNA-Val
Source: RNAcentral
CAGAGUAUAGCUUAUACAUAAAGCUUUUUAGUUACAUUAAUAAGAAAACAGUUCGUUUAGUCUGA